Molecule: long non-coding RNA, 224 nt
Filed under: Helianthus annuus (common sunflower)
Lineage: Eukaryota; Viridiplantae; Streptophyta; Magnoliopsida; Asterales; Asteraceae
Description: hypothetical non coding rna
Source: RNAcentral
GUAGGAGCCAUGUCAACAUGGACACGAGCAUGGAAGGGAAAUGGGUCAAAGGUAAAUACGGAAGCUAUGCACGAACUCGGACGCACGAGGUUUUAUACGGAUUUCUUCUACCACGAAUGAAGAGAAGCGGACAUGGAUCGAGUUGAUAGCGAGGAUUGUAUGGGAAAGAACGGUCACCUAGCUUGGAUUAUGUAACACUUGUAGAAUUAUUUUACCAUGAAUGU